This 406-nucleotide ribosomal RNA is filed under the name uncultured bacterium. RNAcentral describes it as "partial 16S ribosomal RNA". It matches the Rfam family "Bacterial small subunit ribosomal RNA", at positions 30 to 526 of the family's 1533-position model. The record is from RNAcentral.
AUUGAACGCUGGCGGCAGGCCUAACACAUGCAAGUCGAACGAGUGGCGGACGGGUGAGUAAUGUCUGGGAAACUGCCCGAUGGAGGGGGAUAACUACUGGAAACGGUAGCUAAUACCGCAUACCAUCGGAUGUGCCCAGAUGGGAUUAGCUAGUAGGUGGGGUAAAGGCUCACCUAGGCGACGAUCUCUAGCUGGUCUGAGAGGAUGAUCAGCCACACUGGGACUGAGACACGGCCCAGACUCCUACGGGAGGCAGCAGUGGGGAAUAUUGCACAAUGGGCGCAAGCCUGAUGCAGCCAUGCCGCGUGUAUGAAGAAGGCCUUAGGGUUGUAAAGUACUUUCAGCGGGGAGGCGUUACCCGCAGAAGAAGCACCGGCUAACUCCGUGCCAGCAGCCGCGGUAAUAC